UGUCAGUGCGUGCUCCGAGUUGUGUUUGAACCCCGUUUAAGCGUGCGUGCUCCGAGUCAUGUGAUCAUCGUUUUGCUAACUAGACAAGCGUCCCGGGGACAAAUGGGGAGCUGUCCCGGGGCACUCAGUUCUCCCCGCCGUACACACAUUGGCGCUAUAAUAGCAUUGGCGAAUUCUCCGAAUUUCGGAGAAGAGCUUUUCCGAGGAUGAUGUUGGUGCAACUUGGUGCACGUAGCCGGGCCAGUAGCUUCGCCUCAAGGUAUCGGGAAGACGAGGAACCAUCCAAGCCGACCCAGUUCAGCAGCGGAGGGAUAUAUAUGAAAAGCAUCUCGCACCGGACAACCAAUCAGUUGGGGACGAAAUGCGGCGCCAAGAGGUCAUGGUUUCCAGCUCCUGAGAUGAACAUUCUACAACAUAAUUUAGCUGAGAUGACUAUCACACUGACCGGUUGGCGCCUUGGUUCACGUAGGACACCAACAGCUGGUCAACAACGAUAACACAUUUAGGGUAGAAGUCAGAUCAAACAGCCGUGGUCUCCAUGGCUCCAGCGACUGCAUUACUGAUGGGAGGACUUAACCGACAAUAACCAUACAGGAUAAGAGCAACAACGACGAGGUGUUCCCGACACCCGUACCCGUGUCCAUCAGGACGACGCAGUCCCACCACAACGUGCACGGAGACUCCUACCACGGCAGGGAAAGUCAGUCGAGUCCUUCCCCUGCAUGCUGGUGAGACGAGCUGCAUCGCUGAAGGAACCGGAAAAGACGUCCCUGCGCCUUAUUAAGUCGGGAAGUAGGAGAGCCACACAUCACCCAGAACAGCGCCGUCGACAGGAGGAAUGCAACGAGAGGGGAGUACCAGUAGCAGAUCUAGAACAGCCAAUCGAUUGCGCUGCUACAACCAUAGAAAAUCUAAAACUAGUUAGAGAAUUCACGGACUCGUUUUGAGUUGAUUUAUACUAUGGCUAUGUAUCUAAGUGUAUAUAUUGUAGUAGUUGAUUUUACAUGUACAUCUAAGAACCGUACAUAAGGUUAACCUCAGCGACGACGGACCGAAUCGAACCGGAGAUGGAUGUACUAAUGGAGAAAACCCCCAUAGGAAUAUGCAGUACAAUUAUUAUGUAUCAAGCUGUGACCGAAGUUAGCUGAGUCAGCAUUAUGUAGUAACAUCAAACUACUUUAACAGUCUCCCGUGCCAAGUGUACGGAAAACCUUG
This is a long non-coding RNA of Branchiostoma floridae (Florida lancelet), 1215 nucleotides long. RefSeq lists it as uncharacterized. The record is from RefSeq and is a predicted model, not a curated record. Lineage: Eukaryota; Metazoa; Chordata; Leptocardii; Amphioxiformes; Branchiostomatidae. The transcript has 5 exons.